ACUCCUACGGGAGGCAGCAGUGGGGAAUAUUGCACAAUGGGCGCAAGCCUGAUGCAGCCAUGCCGCGUGUAUGAAGAAGGCCUUCGGGUUGUAAAGUACUUUCAGCAGUGAGGAAGGUGGGUAUGUUAAUAGCAUACUCAUUUGACGUUAGCUGCAGAAGAAGCACCGGCUAACUCCGUGCCAGCAGCCGCGGUAAUACGGAGGGUGCGAGCGUUAAUCGGAAUUACUGGGCGUAAAGCGCAUGCAGGUGGUUGUUAAGUCAGAUGUGAAAGCCCGGGGCUCAACCUCGGAAUUGCAUUUGAAACUGGCAAACUAGAGUACUGUAGAGGGGGUAGAAUUUCAGGUGUAGCGGUGAAAUGCGUAGAGAUCGUGAAGGAUACCGGUGGCGAAGGCGGCCCCUGGACAGAUACUGACACUCAGAUGCGAAAGCGUGGGAGCAAACAGGAUUAGAUACCCGU
Molecule: ribosomal RNA, 458 nt
Filed under: uncultured bacterium
Lineage: Bacteria
Description: bacterial SSU rRNA
Rfam family: Bacterial small subunit ribosomal RNA
Source: RNAcentral